Camelina sativa (false flax) is the source of this 359-nucleotide non-coding RNA. Lineage: Eukaryota; Viridiplantae; Streptophyta; Magnoliopsida; Brassicales; Brassicaceae. The record is from RefSeq and is a predicted model, not a curated record.
UUCAGAGGAUACCACUGGAUUUUCUGCAAGAUGAAAACUUUAAGGAGGCCGUAGCAAACUACAUUAAACCUCUAUUGACAAAGGGUGUUCCUUCAUUAUUUUCUGAUCUGUCUUCUCUGUAUGACCACCCUCGCAAGCCUGAUAUAUUGGAGCAGUUAGUUGUUGAGAUGGAACAUUCGAUUAGGACUACCGGAAGUUACCCUGGAAGUGAUGUGAAAGAGCCUCCUUCCACACUAUUGUGGACAUUGUUUUUCUUGGCUCAGCAUUAUGACAAGCGUGGUCAAUAUGAUGUUGCAAUCUAUAAAAUUGACGAAGCCAUUGCUCAUACGCCGACAGUUAUUGAUCUGUACUCCGUUAAG